RNAcentral lists this ribosomal RNA (429 nucleotides) under Bacteroidota bacterium. RNAcentral's name for it is "Bacteroidetes bacterium partial 16S ribosomal RNA". It matches the Rfam family "Bacterial small subunit ribosomal RNA", at positions 355 to 776 of the family's 1533-position model. Lineage: Bacteria; Pseudomonadati; Bacteroidota. The record is from RNAcentral.
UAGGGAAUCUUCCGCAAUGGACGCAAGUCUGACGGAGCAACGCCGCGUGAGUGAAGAAGGAUUUCGGUUCGUAAAACUCUGUUGUUAGAGAAGAACAGCGCAUAGAGUAACUGUUAUGCGUGUGACGGUAUCUAACCAGAAAGCCACGGCUAACUACGUGACAGCAGCCGAGGUAAUACGUAGGUGGCAAGCGUUGUCCGGAUUUAUUGGGCGUAAAGCGAGCGCAGGCGGUCAAUUAAGUCUGAUGUGAAAGCCCCCGGCUCCACCGGGGAGGGUCCUUGGCCCCUGGUUUACUUGCGUGCCGAGGCGGAGAGUGGCUUUCCUUGUGUCGCGGUGAAAUGCGUAGCUAUAUGGCGGCACCCCAGUGGCGCAGGCGACUCUCUGGUCUGUAACUGACGCUGAGGCUCGAAAGCGUGGGUAGCAAACAGG